UGUGAGCUCGAUGAGUAGGGCGGGACACGUGGUAUCCUGUCUGAAUAUGGGGGGACCAUCCUCCAAGGCUAAAUACUCCUGACUGACCGAUAGUGAACCAGUACCGUGAGGGAAAGGCGAAAAGAACCCCGGCGAGGGGAGUGAAAAAGAACCUGAAACCGUGUACGUACAAGCAGUGGGAGCACGCUUAGGCGUGUGACUGCGUACCUUUUGUAUAAUGGGUCAGCGACUUAUAUUCUGUAGCAAGGUUAACCGAAUAGGGGAGCCGAAGGGAAACCGAGUCUUAACUGGGCGUUAAGUUGCAGGGUAUAGACCCGAAACCCGGUGAUCUAGCCAUGGGCAGGUUGAAGGUUGGGUAACACUAACUGGAGGACCGAACCGACUAAUGUUGAAAAAUUAGCGGAUGACUUGUGGCUGGGGGUGAAAGGCCAAUCAAACCGGGAGAUAGCUGGUUCUCCCCGAAAGCUAUUUAGGUAGCGCCUCGUGAAUUCAUCUCCGGGGGUAGAGCACUGUUUCGGCAAGGGGGUCAUCCCGACUUACCAACCCGAUGCAAACUGCGAAUACCGGAGAAUGUUAU
This 577-nucleotide ribosomal RNA is filed under the name Escherichia coli. RNAcentral describes it as "partial 23S ribosomal RNA". It matches the Rfam family "Bacterial large subunit ribosomal RNA", at positions 398 to 975 of the family's 2925-position model. The record is from RNAcentral. Lineage: Bacteria; Pseudomonadati; Pseudomonadota; Gammaproteobacteria; Enterobacterales; Enterobacteriaceae.